RNAcentral lists this transfer RNA (72 nucleotides) under Diacronema viridis. RNAcentral's name for it is "tRNA-Ile". It matches the Rfam family "tRNA". From Rfam's summary of the family: Transfer RNA (tRNA) molecules are approximately 80 nucleotides in length. Their secondary structure includes four short double-helical elements and three loops (D, anti-codon, and T loops). Further hydrogen bonds mediate the characteristic L-shaped molecular structure. tRNAs have two regions of fundamental functional importance: the anti-codon, which is responsible for specific mRNA codon recognition, and the 3' end, to which the tRNAs corresponding amino acid is attached (by aminoacyl-tRNA synthetases). tRNAs cope with the degeneracy of the genetic code in two manners: having more than one tRNA (with a specific anti-codon) for a particular amino acid; and 'wobble' base-pairing, i.e. permitting non-standard base-pairing at the 3rd anti-codon position. The record is from RNAcentral. Lineage: Eukaryota; Haptophyta; Pavlovophyceae; Pavlovales; Pavlovaceae.
GAGCUUAUAACUCAGCGGUAGAGUAUACUCCUGAUAAGAGUAAAGUCAGUAGUUCAAUUCUACUUAAGCUCA